RNAcentral lists this ribosomal RNA (206 nucleotides) under uncultured bacterium. Its description in RNAcentral is "partial 16S ribosomal RNA". It matches the Rfam family "Bacterial small subunit ribosomal RNA", at positions 568 to 774 of the family's 1533-position model. The record is from RNAcentral.
CGUGUAGGCGGUUCGGCAAGUGAGGUGUGAAAUCCCUCGGCUCACCCGAGGACCUGCAUCUCAAACUGCCGGACUAGAGUAUGGGAGAGGACAAGGGAAUUCCUGGUGUAGCGGUGAAAUGCGUAGAUAUCAGGAGGAACACCGGUGGCGAAAGCGCUUGUCUGGCCCAAUACUGACGCUGAGGCGCGAAAGCUAGGGAGCAAACG